This 937-nucleotide long non-coding RNA is filed under the name Polistes fuscatus (common paper wasp). Its description in RNAcentral is "uncharacterized LOC122515731". The record is from RNAcentral. Lineage: Eukaryota; Metazoa; Arthropoda; Insecta; Hymenoptera; Vespidae.
GGGGUGGGUGAUCAAUAACGACGUCGUGUGCAUUCGCUGACGAGUAUUCCGCUUGAAAUAAAUCGAAUAAACCUCGAGUAAAGAUUACAAGAAAGAGACAGAAAGAAAGAAAGCAAGCAAGAAAGCAAGCAAGCAAGAAAGAAAGGAAAGGUUAAGUAGCGAAUUGAGAACCACUGUUCUUUCCUCUACCUGGGUAAGCUAUGAGAGAACGGUAGAGUGUCCUCGUAAAACCGAGCGAGAAAGCUGAUCGCGUUGAGUUGAAGGGGAUAGACGAUGAACAACAACAGCCUAGAGUUAGACAGUCUACCGUGGCCCGUAUAAAGAAGGACACCCGAUAUAUAUAUAGGAAACCCAUAGAAAGAAAGGAAGGAAGAGAGGAGGAAUGGAUGGGGCAUUGUAUUCCUAGUCGUUGUGUUGUUGUCGUCCUAAUAAUCACCAUUGGAUUUUAUUUUUUUGUGCCAUAGUUAAACAUCGUUAUUGAUGUUUGGUCGUUGGUUGAUUGGUUGGUUGGUUAUUGUGACGGUUGUGUCGAGGCCGUUUCCAGGUGGCAUAUAGUGAACCCAUAGAGAGGGAGAUAGAAAGAAGAAGUAAAAGAAAAAGAAGAAGAAGAAGAAGGCAUUAUACUGUUGGUCGUUGUCGUCAUCAUCGCAGUCCCCGUCGGUGUUGCUGUCGCUGUCGCUGUCGCUGCUGCUGUUGUCCGAGUGGUGUUGGGGCCGUUUCCAAGUGCCACCGAAGAGGGCACGCUUAUGUGUGUUAGUUGGUGUUCGUCGCGAGCCAGAAACUGUCGUAGUAGUAGUAGAGAGUAGUAGUCAUAGUAGUCGUGUUGUCCCUCUCUUUUACAUAAAACGUGUGCGCGUGUAAUUGAACCUUUACGUCAACGUUCUGUGUCUCCUCUCGGUUUUCUGUUCAUACGAUGAGUCAAGAAGAAAAAGAAGAA